This 600-nucleotide ribosomal RNA is filed under the name uncultured bacterium. RNAcentral's name for it is "bacterial SSU rRNA". It matches the Rfam family "Bacterial small subunit ribosomal RNA", at positions 731 to 1335 of the family's 1533-position model. The record is from RNAcentral.
AGUCCCUUACUGACGCUAAUGCUCGAAAGUGCGGGUAUCGAACAGGAUUAGAUACCCUGGUAGUCCGCACGGUAAACGAUGGAUGCCCGCUGUGUGCGAUACAUUGUACGCGGCCAAGCGAAAGCGUUAAGCAUCCCACCUGGGGAGUACGCCGGCAACGGUGAAACUCAAAGGAAUUGACGGGGGCCCGCACAAGCGGAGGAACAUGUGGUUUAAUUCGAUGAUACGCGAGGAACCUUACCCGGGCUUGAACUGCAGCGGAAGGAUACAGAGAUGUUGACUCCCUUCGGGGCCGCUGUGGAGGUGCUGCAUGGUUGUCGUCAGCUCGUGCCGUGAGGUGUCGGCUUAAAUGCCAUAACGAGCGCAACCCCUGCCAGUAGUUGCCAUCGGGUGAUGCCGGGCACUCUGCUGGGACUGCCACCGUAAGGUGUGAGGAAGGUGGGGAUGACGUCAAAUCAGCACGGCCCUUACGUCCGGGGCUACACACGUGUUACAAUGGGUGGUACAGAGAGUCAGCGGGCCGCAAGUCCCGUUCAAUCAUGAAAGCCAUCCUCAGUUCGGAUUGGGGUCUGCAACCCGACCCCAUGAAGCUGGAUUCGC